Molecule: long non-coding RNA, 13354 nt
Filed under: Lathyrus oleraceus (garden pea)
Lineage: Eukaryota; Viridiplantae; Streptophyta; Magnoliopsida; Fabales; Fabaceae
Description: Pisum sativum (pea) long non-coding RNA (PSAT_LNC003160)
Source: RNAcentral
UUUUUUUUUGUUCAACAGGUUUAGGAAAUGCAUUUUCGAAAAAAAUUCAAAAAUUCAUUUUCAGAAUAAAUUUAAUUAUAAAAUUGGUACAUGACUCAAAACGAAUGAAAUAUGUAUGUUUGAGGUGCGUCUUGAGAUGCAUUUCUGAAAUCUGAAAGAAUAAAAUUUUAAACAUAUAAAAAUGAAAUAUGAGAAUAAAGUUUUAAACAUAUAAAAAUGAAAUAUGUGUGUUUAAUGUGUUUGUGACAUAUAUAUAAUGCAUUAAAAAAAAUGUACCGCCUAUCAUACUAAGACUUAAAUGAACUGUUUUCCUGCAUGUAGGGCUUGGCCAAGACAAAUUUGUAGGAUUAAUAAGAAAUAUAUUUAUAAAGAGUUAUAAAGAUUAUUUUUAUAGAGAUUCUUAUACAUGUAAUAAAAAACAAAUUCUCCAAAAAAGAUCUUAUAAUUAGGAAAUUGUUAUACACUACAUGUAAUUAAACUGGGUAGAGAUCCUUUCAAUUUCUUUAAAGAAAUGGAAUUAUCCACUACUAUACUUUUAGAAUACAAAUAGCUAAUAGUUGUCACCAAAUUUUAAAAUGUCUACAUUUAUUUAUAUCUUGUAUUCACCUAAUUUAAUAUAUAUUUUAAUCAUUUUAUUUAAUUUAAUAUUAUUUUUUAGUCCUUUAAAUAAAAAAUAUUAUAAGUUAGUCCUUUAAUUUCCAUUCUAUUAUUUUAUUUGGUAUUUUUGAUAAUUUUUAGAUAAAAAAUAUUAAGUUCUUGUGACGUGACGUGAUAACAAUGUUAUAGAUACAAAUUUUAGCAUCACCAGAAUUUAAGGUUUUUUUGUCAAAAAUUGAUGGAAGAGACUAAAUAGGAUAACCGAAGUGAAAUUAAGGAACUAACUUAUAACAUUUUUUAUUUAAGGGAUUAAAGUAAAAUAUUAAAUUAAGUUAAGAGACUUGAUGAUUAAUUAUGUCUUUAAAAAUUAUUAAUUUAUUUUCUUAAUUUUUUCUGUUUAAUAAAUAAAUGAUUUUAAUUAUUUUAAUUAAUUUUUAUACAAAUAUUUAUUUAAAAAUUAAAUAUUACAAACUCUAAAAUAUAUAUUUAGGCCUAACGUACAGUAACCCAAUACCAAUAUUAUAACAAAUAUAAUGUGAAAGUCUUAUAUAAUCACUAUUCUUUGGUAUUGAAAUUUCGAUGUGGACUUAAAUUGUACAUGUCACUGUUGAUAUUGAUUGAAAAUAUAUACGUUGAUACUAUUUAUAGAUAAUUGAAUAUGAUUAUCGAUGAAAAUAAUAUAAAAAUUUUUGGAGUGUAGCUUCAAAUGAGUAUCUGAGUAUAGUCUUUAUAUUGGAGUACGAUUGUCAAUGAAGACAAGACAAACUUAUAUAUUAUUUUUAAUAAAUAUGAAGAUUAUUAGAAUUAGUUGAAAAUAUGGAUGAUGAAUAAAUCCUAUUUCAUUCAAUUUUUUUAAAUGAAUAGAGGUAAUAUAAUAUAUAUAUUAUAUAUAUAUAUAUAUAUAUAUAUAUAUAUAUAUAUUAUAUAUCAUAUUUUAUUAAUAUUAUAAAUUCUUUUAAGUUCCAUAUUAUUUAAUUUUGUGAAGGAAGAGAGAGUCAAAGAUAUAUAUGAUUCAAGUUUUUUAUUCCAAUAUGCAUCGAUCAAAAGCAUUUUAAACUUGUAUUUGAUUUUCUUUGUUCUCUUUUUGGAGGGAGAAUGUGGAUGCAAAUGUAAGUGAUUAAAGUCUCACAUUGUCUAUGAAUUGGUGGAGUGUUGGAUUUAUAAGAGAGAUAACUUAUUUACCUAACACCUUAAGAUUUUGGGUUGAAAUGUAAUGUUUUUCUAUUGUGAUCGUGGAGCAUUAGUCUCAUUGAUGCUCUUGAACUCCCCAAUAGUGAUACAGAGUCUGGUUCGGCUUGUGGGGGGAGCGGAAACUGAAUCCAGAUAGAUGAUAUGAGAGACUUACAUUUGUGGGGGAGAACGUGGUGUGAAAGUAUGAGUGAUUAAAGUUUUACAUUAUUUAUGAAUGAGUGAAAUAUUAAAUUUAUAAGAGAGACUUCAUUUAUUUAACACUUUUGUUGAGAUCUCAUUGAUGUUUUUGAGUCUCCUAAACUCCCAAACAACCGCAACUACAAAUCAAACAGCUUUUGCAAAAGUGUAUUAUGGUGAAGUACCUAAUCCAUACAAUAAGUUUCAUGAGCAUAUGUAUAUGACUAAAACAACAUAAAAGUAACUCCUUAUGCAGAGGUGUAUUACGGUGACAAAGUUUGAUAUUGUAUAUAUGAUAACAGUUGUAGAAAAAUCAUGUCACUUAAUCACUAUCUUUUUGCAUUUAAAAGCAUCUUUGCUUAAAAUAUUUGGAACGAUCUACGUCUCUAGGUGAUAUUGAUGACGUGUAUUUAGACACAGAGGAAAAGUAUAAGAAAUUAAUUAAGCAGGUUAUUGAAUUAUAGGAAAAAUAUAUUGAUGUCGAUGCUUAUAAGAAAUUUGAUACUAAAGGAUCAUAAAAUUAAUUUUUUAAAUAAAAAUUAAAAAGUUAUUAAAAUGAAUUUAGAGAGACCAAAACUGCAUUUAAGUUAAUAUUUAAUUUAACAAAAUAUUAUUUAAUACUUCCACGUUUCAAAAUAAAUAUCAUCUUUUUAUAAAAAAAAUAUUUUUCAUAUUUAUUAUAAAGUGUAAACAAUAUGAAAAAAUUAAUAAUUUUACUAAAUUAUUUGAUUGAAUAUUAAAAUAUUUCCCAACAUCAGAAAUACAAAAUAAAAUAAAAUAUUUUAAGAGUAACACACAUAAUUAAAUAAAUUAUAUUAAAAAAUUAAAACACUAUAUUUUGAAACAAAUUUAUUUACUAAAGAAUAUAGAUAGAGUAACAUGAUUUGAUUAACAAACAAAACCAAGGCUAAAUCUCAUAUUUAAUUAACAAAAUUAUAGGGAUCAUUUACUUUAACUUGUAGUAUAAUUUUAAAAAAUUUAAUAAAUCUCCAUUUUAAAAAAAAAAAUUGUUUGAACUAAAUUGUGGCCAUGAAUGAUAGAUAGGGUGAUGCACAACAAUUUCAAAGGGAAGUAUUUAUUUUUUAUUUCUUUGUGCCGUUAUUUUCGGAUAAUUUAAUUGAUAGUUAUGCAUGAAUAUCAGAUCUAAUAGAAGAAUGCAUAUUUAAAUCCGUAAUAUUUCAUUUAAUUAUUUUUUAAAAAGCAAAUUCAAGUGAUUAAACUAUUUAAUAAAAGAAUUCAGCUAUUAAAUUAGUUGGAAAAAAAAGAUCCUCUUCAAUUCAAUCAUGUCUAAUUGGCUGUCAUAUCUUGCAGCUCACUUCUUUUCAACAAAAAAGUCAUUGCUUUUGCUUAAAGCAUGGUAUGAGUGGCUUAAUCCAACGAUUAAGUAGGAACAAGUUUGAAUGAAAGACAUCAUCACUAUUAUUAUUCUCUUUAAUUAAAUUAAAUCUUGCAUCAUUUCUAAACAAACAUCCAUUACCAACAGCACACUUUUGACCAUAUAUUUGUCUUUAAUCUCAUUGUUAAGAAGAAUCGUUUUUUAAUGUCUGCAAAAUAAUUAAAUAAAUCUGUCACUAUGAAUAAGUAAAAUUCAUAUUUAUUUUACCACUAUUAAUAUGUGGUUAACUUACCUGAUAAAACUUUAAAAAAUAAUUAACAGGACUUUGAUGUUAAGUACCAAACUCGAUAUUUCAUACAAAAUAUAUUUAUUUUCGUUUUUAAAUUCUUUACUACAUAAAAACAAUUAUGGAAUCGCAUAUAUCAAAAUUUAGAUACAAAAAUUAGAGAUUCUCCGCAAUAAAAUAAAUUUAAAAUCAGUCAUUUAAUUAUUUUGAUUUUGUUUAUCCUACACCAUAAAAGGACGGAAUUGGAAAAUAUUGUCAAUGAAGUAGAAUAUAAAAAAUGAUAAGUAAUUAAGUAUAUUGAGUUAAAAAUAAUGUUAUAUUUUGCAAAGGAACUAAAUAUAAAGAAAGUGAUUAAAAACAGUUUUUAUUAAAAUCAAUAUAUUUAAUAUAAUUAGAGGGGACUAUACUCUUAUUUGGGAUAGGCAAUAUUUAAUUGUGUCCCUAUAUAUCAAGAUGCUUUAAAAAGGUAUUGUAAUUAUUAAUUAAUAAAAAGAUCAAUUAAAUAAAGAAUAUUAUACUGUUCGUAAGUAAAAAGUUGUAAUAUUUAAGAAAGAGUUACAAUACUUGGUGAAAGGGUAUGUUUUAUCAAGGAUGACAAUACUUAGUAAAAAGUUGCAACACUUGAUGAGAUAACGAGUUUUAUCAAUGGUCGCAAUCUUGUGAAACAAUAUCUUUUAAUCUAUAAAUAAUCUGCUUCGGAUCCAGAAAAAUAUACUACUUUGAACUCUCAUAUUCCUUGUUUAAAUUUUAGAUUUCUUUCUUCCAUAUAUUUGAGUUUUCAUAUGUCUUGUGCAAAUUCAAAGUAGAUUAAAUUAUCAUGAGUAUUCUUGCGUGUAGUCUCUGAGAUAAAAUAGAGAGUACUUAAAAUACUAUUAUGAAAAUGAUUAUAUGCACAAUUCUAGCCUUGAUCCAUUUAACUUAAAAAUAACUUCUAACAGUCUAAUAAUAUAUCAAAUAAUGACAAUCGGGAUUUCCGUUAAUAUAUUAAAUAAUGGCAACUGAGGCUUCUGUUUCAAGCAUCAAAGUGAUGAACAAAGACCUUGUGAAGCUGGAUCAUUUUGAUGGGACAAACUUCACUCGCUGAAAAGAAAAGAUGAUCUUCCUCCUUAUUGCUUUGAAGAACUUCCAUGUACUGGAUCCUGAACUAGCACUCAUUGGAUGUAAGUGGGUCUUUAGAAGAAAGUAUCAUGGUGAUGGCACACUAAACACCUACAAAGCUAUAUUAGUAGCCAGUGAUUUUAGACAAAAGGAGGGUGUUGAUUACCUCAACACAUAUGAUAGCAAGGACGACGACAAUUAGAGUAUUAUUUGCAUUAGCUUCUUUGCAUAACCUUAUAGUUCGUUAAAUAGAUAUCAAAAUAGUAUUCCUAAGUGGAGAUAUCGAUGAGGAAAUUUACAUGAAGCAACUGGAAGGCUAUGUGUUUCCUGGUAAUGAAUAAAACGAGUAGAACAAUGCCUCAAACAUCUUAACCUCAAUUUAGAAGACGUUCUCGUCAGGUUCCACAGUUUCAACAUCAUUGCAUAUCCAAAAAGAAGCUUUUGAAAAACUGUUAAAGACACAUAUUAGUUGGUUUAGAUCUAAUGCAUGCCUUAAAUCACUUGGCAUAAAGGUUUUCAUCUUCUAAAAAGAAGGAAGACCUUACCUCCAUUGGUCACACUACCACAUCAGGAAUAAAUACCUCAAUCUAUUACAUGCCUUAGAAAGGUUUCCAUUUACUAUAAAGAAACAAGACCUUACUUCCAUUGGACUCACUACCACAUCAACAAUAAAUACCUCCGAGUGCAUUUACUCUAUUUUUUUCUCAAUUUCUUCAAUGUAAAACAUGGCAUAACAUUUGAGACAAUGAUCCCAUCCAUGAAAACUAUUCUCAACAUAUUACCAUUGAACAAAACCUUGAUAAGAAUGACUUCAAAUGUGUGACCAUUUCUCUAGUGGGCUUCUCAAAUAACACCCUCAAUUUCUUUAACUUAAGCUAAUGGAACCCACUUAGUGUCUUCAAUGAAUACAUCUCAUUGCAUCUCAUUUAUUUGGGCUUCUAUGCUUUAGAAUUCCCAAGAGGUUAAUCCCAUAACUUUUAUUUCAGUCAUGACGAUGUUAGAUUUAUCUCUAAGUCGGAUAUAUAAUAGGUAAUCCUCAUCAUAUUUCAUUUAAUAUCCCAAUUUGAGACAGCCUAACCCUAGUAACUUCUUUAAUAUUAUUAUAUUUUCACAAUUAACUUUCUCUUUAACUUUCAAGGGUGUUUUUUGUUAGCUAUAAGCUCUAGGUAUGUGAGACUUUGACCAAAUUCUUCCAUGGCUACUAUAUAAGCACAUUCAUCUACCUUUUACUCAUUUCUCAUCAGAAGUCAAGGACUUGCUCUUGUUAGAGUCAUCAAGUGGUACAUCUAAUCUUGGCCAAAGUGAACUCAUUGUCUAACACCUUUAUCACCUCAAGCGAUUAUAUCUUCUUUUUCCAUGGUCCUGGAUUUUUGUAAUGAGUUGUAGAAUGUGAUUAUUUUUUGUAUAGAUCGUCUUAUUUAUCACCUUCUCUUUUUUUUCUACUGAAGGUGGUUGCAUAAGGUGAAUUGGGCCUGGCAUUCUCACCCACUACCCAUUUCCAUGAAGGUGGUGGUUAAUCCUUCAUGUUAAAGUUCUUUCCUGACUACAUGUUAACACCAAGUGUAGCCGUCACGUGGUGAUUGAAAAUUUAUAAUGGUACUUGUUGUAGUAUUUCAUUAGCAUGAUAAAAAUUCUGUUGAAGUCUGAAAAUGAUAAAUUUGUUAUUGAAGUGUGAAAAUUUAAUCGUGAUUCGACUGAUAACUAUUUAUUUUUUCUUAAAUAAUAUUUCUUCCAUUCAGAAAAAAAAAAUGUAAAUAUAUAAUUAAAUAUAUUAUAAAUAAAAAGAUAAUAAUUAUUUUAACACUGCACUCCAUCUUUCACCUCUGGUUGAGAACAUAGAAGUCAACCUAUAAUAGGUUGAUCUUACCAAGGCGGUUAUCGGCAGAUUUCGAAUUCCUUUGAAAACCCCGUUCAUGCAUUCCACAAUGUUUGUUGUCAUGUGGCCCCAUCGCACCACCGUCAAAUGCCCUUGUCCACUGCUCUACUGGUAUGUUAUUUAUCCAUCUCCCUGCGUCUUUAUUAGACAGUCUAAUUUCAUCACGAUAAUAUUGAAAUGACGUGAGUAAAGCAUACCCGCUCACCGCCUUCUUGCGAAGAUUCUUAUCUUUGAUUGCACGCAUGAGUUUUAUGCAAUGGUCUGAUACAGUAGACAUGUGUAGAAGGAGGAUCAUGUCAUCCGUUGUCAUGGUUGUUGUAGGCACUCUCAAUGGCAGCAUGUCUAUCAGAAAUCAAACAGAGAUUGGCUUGUGGAGCCACAUGCGUUCUGAGAUGUCGAAGAAAGAAACCCCAUUCAUCAGCCGUUUCACCUUCAACAAGAGCAAAGGCAAUGGGAAAGAUAUUGUUGCUACCGUCUUGUGCAACCGCCAUGAGCAAAGUACCCUUGUAUUUUCCGUAUAACCAAGUGCCAUCAAUUUGAAUGAUAGGUUUGCAGAAUGCGAAACCUUUGAUGCACGGGUCAAAUGCCCAAAAGAGACGGUGAAAUAUUCUAUUACCUGUAGCACAGGUUCCGUCUGGCAUCAUUGCUGGCAAUGUCUCCAUAAUUUCCAUAGUUCCUGGGACAUAUGUUUUUAGUGCCCAUAAAAACCGUGGCAAUUCCUUGAAUGAAUCCUCCCAGAUGCCGAAAACCUGUUCAACAGCCUUUGUCCUCGCAAUCCAGGCUUUCUUGUAAGAUGGAGUAUAAUUAUAUGUUGUUCUGAUAUGGGAUAUAAUUAUACUCACCUUCACUGAUGGGUCUUUAUUUACCAAUGGCAGAAUUGUCUUGAACAUGAUUCAAAGUUGCGCCUAGUUUAGGUGAAUCUUGUUUCAACGUUAGUUGCAACUGCAACUGUGCGGUGGGUCUUUGAAGCGAUCUCCCAAGAUUCGUUUUUCUUCUGUAAGACGCAGCCAAACGAACUUACAAAGCAUGUUUACGAUCAUUCGAUAACAAUACCGUUCUAGAAAUCAGGUGCAUUUCACUGUAAAGUCAGCAAUUGUUAUGUGGAAUUUUUUUGAUUGCCAGAACACAUUCUUCUUUUGGUACGAAACAUGUCUUCCACACCUUUAUUCACCUUCUGAUCUCGGGAAUACGAUUAUAGAAAACAUGUUGGAUGUUUAUCGUCGUGAAGAUCCAUAUUUGUCAUAUGUUAAGGCGGAUUGUAGACAUGACUAGGAGGUAUUGUGUGUGGUUGAUUCAUCAUCUUCAUCGUCGUUGUUCAGCAUGUGAUCAACCUGUAUCUUCGGUCUCCUCUUCUUCUUCAUCAACAACGUCGACUUCUGCUUCUGCUUUUGGGUUUGAGUUCAUCUGACCAUUGUGCAUCAUCUUCACCAGCUUCAUCCAGAUCGGUUAGUUGAGACUGUUGAGAUGGUAUACAUGGUUGAAGAGUAAUGUACAACACGAUACGUUGCAGCCCUAAUGUUCAUGACUAACAAACAUGUAUUCAACAUCUUCAUUGUCUCGUACCUUAAGGGGGAAAUACUUGCAUUGACCAUUCUAAAAAAAUAUUGGAUUUUGAUAUGUGAUCUUUGACACAAUACCCGAUCCUAUAAAGGAUUGCAUUCUUUUUUUCAAAUGCAAGAAGGUUGCAUUUCUCUUGAUCGUGAUUCUAAUGGUAUCAGUGUUUCGAAAACAAAAACCAUGUAGCUCAGACUCGAAUGUUUCACCGUUGCAAUGAACGUUGACACUGUAUAAUGAUGAAGAUGACAUUGUGCAGAUGAAAACUAUUUUCUUACUGCAGAUGAAUGUGAGUGAAGUGUCUUGGAUGUUGAUAGUAAGCCACUUAAAUAGAUGGUAUCAGUGUCUCACAUGCUAGCUAGUUCUGAGAUGAUGUGUUGGACAUGCAAGUUAGUCUGAGAUGAUGUGUCGGACAUGCAAGCUAGACUGAGAUGAUGUGUCAGUCAUGCAAGAUAGUCUGAGAUGAUGUGUCAGCCAUGCAAGCUAUCAAGAAGUGAUUGUUCAGCAUGCAGGAGACAAGACAGCCACGUGUCGAACAUAUAAGAUAGUUAGAGAUGAUGUGUCAACCAUGCAAGCCAUCAACAAGUGACUUGUUCAGCAUGCAGGAGACAAGACAGCCACGUGUCAGACAUGCAGACACACACUCCAAAUGGAUUGGCGCCUCCAUUUAUUCCUUGUACAUGGUCGCCAAUUCAAGUGGAGACACCAUGCAUUCAGACCUCGAAACCAAGCAUUCAGACCUAGCAUUGCAUGCAUGUCCCUAUGGAGGCGCCAAUUUGAAUGGCGACCCCUCGUAAAGCUUGUACAUGGUCGCCAAUUCAUAUGGAGACACCAUGCAAGCACAAAUUUUCAUGCUCUCAUCCAUUUACCUAUAAAUACAUCCACUCCUUCAACACUUCUUCCACACCAUCACUCUUACUACUUCCUCUACAAUACUUCUUUUACAAUUUCAUCUUCAACAACAUCUUCUAGUUUCAUCCACACCAACCCCCCAACAAAAUGUCGUUACUCACAAUGGGCGAAGCACAUAGAGGAACGGUUGCAAACAUCGCAACAUAUGUAAGUUUUUUCUUUUGUUAACUAAAAUAGAAAGUAGAAGUGGUUGGGGUAAAAUAAAACUGUAUCCAACUUAGUCAAGUGUUUUAUUCUUUCUUUUAUAGGAUGUAUCAAGGUUUCGAACUCGGGUCCACGAAUAUGUCCAGAUGGACCCGAUGAUUCAACCUUAUGUUGAAGUCGCCGGUUUUGGUCAUAUUAGCAAGAUUAUGUCUUGGUUUAUAGAUAACAAGUUCAUUCUAGCCUUAUGUGAAAGAUGGAGGCCAGAGACACACACAUUUUGAUUCCCAACCGGUGAGUGUACCGUGGCGUUAGAAGACGUCAACAUGCUUUUAGGACUACCAAUUGAAGGCAAGGAUGUUAAUGGUAAGACCAACUAUGCAAAUUCAAUUUGCAUGGAGCUCUUAGACACUUAUUUGUUAGAUGAUAAUGCUAGAGGUCAAGGUAUACUACUCUCACGCCUAAAGUCAUAUUAUAAUAGUUUAUACUUAGAUGAGCAUUCUAUCGAAGAUGCUCGAAUAAUAAAAACUAGGUGUAACAUUAUGUUGUUAAUAGGAUCCUUUUUAUUUCCCGAAGGUAGUGGUUCUAGCAUGCAUAUUAUGUACUUACCUCUACUUAGACAUGUAGAUAGUUAUCCUUCAAUGUCAACCCCUAGACGAACAGAAGCCUAUCUCUAUAGCUCGUUGUGCAAAAACUCCCACAAAGACACAUCUACAUUUUCUGGAUGUGCUGUUUUGCUACAAGCAUGGGGUUGGUCAAGACUAUCGUCUCUAGCACCGGUUAAUAACAACCCUUUCACUUUUCCAUAUGCACAAAAGUAAGUUGUUUAAAUUGCUAUAUCUUUACUUAGUUCCUUAAAGUUUAUUACCUCAAACUAUUUUUUUUUAACUUUUUGGUGUAGAUGGUCGGCACAUGGUAUGAGUUACAACAGAUGUCCGAGACACUAUAUUACUCAGUAUCGCAACCUGUUGGAUCACCUUCGACCGACAGACGUAAGCAAAAUAACUUAAUUAUUUCGUUAUAUUUUGUUAACUUUUUCUACAUUAAUUAUAAUCCUAUCUUCUUUAACAUUUCAGUUCAUUUGGCGUCCAUACCUUAAUCUGGAUCGUGACCAUGAGGUCAACGCUGAAGACGCAGCCGUAUGGACAACAUGCACACCGAUAAUACGAUUCACAACUGUGGAGAUGCACAACACCGAUCGUGUGAAGCUGCAGUUCGGUAUGGUCCAGAAUAUCCCAGAUCCCACAGCUAGCCUAGGAGAAUGGCAUCUGCGUAAAGUGAACGACCAAUGGAACUUCAACCCUUGGCAAAACUUCGCAAGAUCAGAGUGUCGCAAGUGGAAGCACCGUCAUGACCAUGUCUUAACUGACACAGUCAUGCCAAAUGAGGUAAAACCAAGUCCUACUUAUAUGGCUUGGUACAGAUCGGUUGGUUUUCAAUUCAUCGCCGAAGAUAUGUACCUCUACGACCCAGCCAGGCAAGUUACACACAAGAAGGAUCAACAUCUAACCCCCAACAACAUUCUCAGCCCGGUUACUCACAACCCCCUAUCCGUCAAACUUUCCGUUCUACAAACACACAAACAUACAACCAAAACAUGUCAUUCACCCAACCCCAAUACCAAGAGCAUACCCCAUACCACCACCAACAAAUUGACCAUCAACCUGAGACCCAACGUCGCUUCACACCCACACCAUCACCCUACCAAAGUCGCGUUAGCUAAAACACCAACCGCCUCUCCUCCUACCGUAGCCAAGAAGCCCAAACAUCACAAAACCAAAACAUCCCACAACCCUAUCUCUACCAAACACCCCAACAACCUUUCCUCGACGCAUCAUUCACACCCAUGUCUCCCUUCAACCGUCUCGAUCGCCCAUCCAUGAGUCAACCACAUCCCAACUUCUCUGGCAUGGGUCAUGAGCUCAGCUACGGCGGUACACCAUCAUUGCAUACUGAAGACUAUGCUGAGUUGUCUGAAUACCUCAACGGACCUUCUACCCAACUUCUCUGGCAUGGGUCAUGAGCUCAGCUACGGCGGUACACCAUCAUUGCAUACUGAAGACUAUGCUGAGUUGUCUGAAUACCUCAACGGACCUUCUCUUGUAGUUGGUAGUGACGCUCCUGACCCCUCAGAUGAUCAAACACCGAUGCAGAAUCGUCAACGUGAGUUAGGACCAAGGGUUAGGGUAGCUAGAGGAUGUGGCACCGGAGGUCGGUUAGAUGAUCCCGAUCAUCACCAUUAGGUUUCUUUUGUGUAAACUCCAAACUUUAUUAAUAUCAAGUCGUAUUAUAUCAAAUUUAUCUUUAACUUAUACCAUAAAACACACAAAAAAUGUAUUUUAUGAGGAAUCUCCAAUUGAAGAUGACCCCACUUUUGAUGUGUUUGUCAAAUGAAGAUGAUCCCAAGAGCAAAAAUGUUCUUAAGGACCAUAUGAACAAGACCAUAUGAACAACUUUCAUGUUCAUAAAAAUUUGAUUUGAAGCUUUGAAGGUCAUCAUCAAUUUCAAAACAUUAUAGGUCAUUUUGACUGAAACCCUAAUUUUAGGUCAACUUCCCAAGAACAUAACUCACUCAUUUUUCGUGAUUUUGAGAUGGAAUCAAAUGCAUUGGAAAGUUUAAGAUGUCUACUUCAUUUGUUAUGUUGAGAAAAUUUUCAUAAUCCUAAAAGAAACACAUGUGAUAAUAGAAAACAUUAUAGGUCACUUUGGAACUUCAAGUACAUUGAAAUGUGAAAAAGUCCAACUUCAAGUGCCCAUAACUUUCUCAUCAAAAAUUCAAAUGAUGCAAAAUUUAAAUCCAAAUUUAUUGUCUUGAAAAGAUCUACAACUUUUAUGUUGAAGGUUUUGUCAUUUGAGGCUUUUAGAAGGAAUCUCCAAUUGAAUUAGCGACUCCUCUUAAAACCUACACAUAGGCACCAAUUGGAUUGGCUAGGGCACCUGCCCUAGUCAAUCCAAUUGGCGCCUCCAUUCAAGUUUUAAGAGAAACCGCCAAUUCAAUUGGAGACUCCUCCUAAAAAUGGGGUAUUUUGGAAAAAAAAUUAAAACUUGAGGUAUUUUGGAAAUUUUCUUUAAAAAGUGGGUUAUUUGGAUAAAAAAAACCGUUUAUGCCACCGUUGAUAUGAGAUUAGGGAUAGAAUCAUGUUAUUUAUAAACAAAUUAAGGAAAGAGUUAUGCUAUUUUUACAGCAUUUUACUUCGGCAUAUUUAAAUUUCACCGUAUAUGUACAAUUAUUUUAGUGUUGCACAAACAAAAAAUCAUUAAAAAAUGAUGAGUAGAUAUUUAUUAUAUAAUGUUCGGUGUAGGUGUGUAAUUCUUAAGGAAAAGGGAAGGGAAUUAUCACUAGGUGAAGUUGAGGCUAUUUUACCCCCUUCCAGUACCAGUAAAGAUCCAGAAUCGAAAGGGUCCAAUCUUUUUCCCAUUCUAGUCAUGAAAGAAUUUGAUAUCAGGUUUACCUAUUUCCUAGAAAACUUGUCAGGAUUCAGUUUUAAUCAAGGCAUGAACACUAACCUAACGGAUCCUUGUCAAGUAUCAAAAGGCUUCUAAAGCUUCAGCAUAAUUUGAGAACAUACGCAACAACUAUGCUCCGGUACUGUAUAAUGUCAUAGAACACUACUCUGAUCAUGAAAGAAUAUAUGACAAGGAACUGCUUAGGAGAAUAUGUGAAACUUGUAAGGGCUUAAGUUUUAUCUAUUAGUAAAUUUAUUAGACAAGGACAGACAAUAGAUUAUUUUAAAAAAUGUAUUACAUUACUGACGGGGUGUUAAAUUAUCGGCAAACAUGAAGUUUCCAGCAUAAACAUAACUACUUAAGCACACUAACAAAUUAAGAUUCUACAACAAACCAAAUAAAUUUUGAAACACAGAAAUCAUGUGGCAUGUUUUUUUAAACACUUAAAAUCAAAUGUUAAAGAAAUAUAACCAACCUGAUUAAAUUAAAUGGGAAUGAUAACUAAGUGCAAAACCAUCACAUCUUUAUCAAAAAUACCAAAUUAGUCUUAACUCCAACUCUCAAAAUAACUUAGAACAACAAAAACAUAAUAAAUUGGGAGAGGUAGAAAACCAAGUGCAAUAAAACACUUAGCACUUGAUCUCCUUCAAAGCAAAAGAAAAAUAGAGAAAAGUUGGGUCAGCAGCACCAUCCUUGUAGUAGGCAAAGACCAAGCUACCAUCAUCAUGCAUGCUCUCAC